RNAcentral lists this ribosomal RNA (509 nucleotides) under bacterium enrichment culture clone OZDCA16. RNAcentral describes it as "bacterial SSU rRNA". It matches the Rfam family "Bacterial small subunit ribosomal RNA", at positions 9 to 513 of the family's 1533-position model. RNAcentral also lists the same sequence under 1 other name. The record is from RNAcentral.
GAGUUUGAUCAUGGCUCAGAUUGAACGCUGGCGGCAGGCCUAACACAUGCAAGUCGAGCGGAUGACGGGAGCUUGCUCCUUGAUUCAGCGGCGGACGGGUGAGUAAUGCCUGGGAAUCUGCCUGGUAGUGGGGGACAACGUUUCGAAAGGAACGCUAAUACCGCAUACGUCCUACGGGAGAAAGCAGGGGACCUUCGGGCCUUGCGCUAUCAGAUGAGCCUAGGUCGGAUUAGCUAGUUGGUGGGGUAAUGGCUCACCAAGGCGACGAUCCGUAACUGGUCUGAGAGGAUGAUCAGUCACACUGGAACUGAGACACGGUCCAGACUCCUACGGGAGGCAGCAGUGGGGAAUAUUGGACAAUGGGCGAAAGCCUGAUCCAGCCAUGCCGCGUGUGUGAAGAAGGUCUUCGGAUUGUAAAGCACUUUAAGUUGGGAGGAAGGGCAGUAAGUUAAUACCUUGCUGUUUUGACGUUACCGACAGAAUAAGCACCGGCUAACUCUGUGCCAGCA